UCAACCUACGGGAGGCAGCAGUCGAGAAUCAUUCACAAUGGGGGAAACCCUGAUGGUGCGACGCCGCGUGGGGGAAUGAAGGUCUUCGGAUUGUAAACCCCUGUCAUGUGGGAGCAAAUUAAAAAGAUAGUACCACAAGAGGAAGAGACGGCUAACUCUGUGCCAGCAGCCGCGGUAAUACAGAGGUCUCAAGCGUUGUUCGGAGUCACUGGGCGUAAAGGGUGCGAAGGCUGUUUCGUAAGUCGUGUGUGAAAGGCGCGGGCUCAACCCGCGGACGGCACAUGAUACUGCGAGACUAGAGGAAA
RNAcentral lists this ribosomal RNA (305 nucleotides) under uncultured bacterium. Its description in RNAcentral is "bacterial SSU rRNA". It matches the Rfam family "Bacterial small subunit ribosomal RNA", at positions 332 to 650 of the family's 1533-position model. The record is from RNAcentral.